CAUUCUCUCAAGUACCUCUCCGCUUCCUCUGCUUGCUUUCAUGUAGUUUAUUGCUUAGGUAAAAAAGUUUAUUCCGGCUAGACUUUCUUCUUCUCUUAACUAGGAUAUAGUUAAGAGAAGAAGAAAGUCGUGCUUACUCUCACCUUCUUUCUUGUGUUGUAAGAGGGGCGAAAGGGAACCAGAGCAGCAAGCAUCACAACUAGUGACAUUCCCCGCCACAACAGUUCCACUUCAAGGUGAACGGACUCCCGCAGCACUAUACAUUUCCCUGAGGCGCCUAGCCUUUAGUUCAUUUGCAAGAGAGAAGGCCUAGAAAGUCAGUCCACUAGCAGUUUCAUUGGCCCUUUUGAACCCUAGCUUCUCCUUCGAUCCAAAAGCCGUCAAUCGCAUGUGCGAUGUGUCUAGAGUUUACCUUCGGAUCAGACCUCAAAAACAGAAAGAGAAAAAAAAAAGUGUCUUCGUGGCAACUAUGUUAUACCGUUCGUGCCCCUCACCAGAGAGCCACUGAACUCGCUUUCAAGAAGAGUCUUUCCUGCUUCCAAUUCAUAGACUUAAAAAAGGGGAUUUGCCACAUCGUUGAGUGAUCUUUAAAAAGGAAGUCGGCCUUCACUAUCUUCCAAUCUUCAAAGGACAGUGGAAUUAGGCUUUAUCCGAUGUAAGAGCUUCUUCUUUCGUCCUCUAGUCUUCUUUUAAAAGAAGGAGGAAUGCCCCAACCACGAUGUUGCGCGUAGAAAUCCUCCCUCCAUACCAUGACCUCUCUAUAUAUAGAUAUAGGAGCCUUACAAGACUUAGACAGCUUCGAGAAGACUCCCUGCCUUAGGAGCUAUUUCAAAUGAGACAGGAAUGAAAGCAAGGCCGAGAGGGGGAGAGAAUGGAAUACUAGGGGAGAAUCCUAGGACUUCAAGAAAGUCAGGCGAAUGGUGCCUAUACCUGAAAGCACAUAAGCUCGCAUUCCAAGACUUUGAAUGCAAACUAAAUCGAAAGCUAAUGGAAGGCUGGAGGACCUGGCCCACUAAACUAAAGGAUAGGCGUAUGGAGGAGUAGAGUUAGUUAAAGCUGCACGGGACCUAUUGCCUCCACAUCUCCUUAAGGUAGAGUAGAGCUUAUUCAUGAGGAUGAUUCGUAGUUCUCAUAAGAAAA
RNAcentral lists this long non-coding RNA (1140 nucleotides) under Nicotiana benthamiana. RNAcentral describes it as "long non-coding RNA (NBEN_LNC028597)". The record is from RNAcentral. Lineage: Eukaryota; Viridiplantae; Streptophyta; Magnoliopsida; Solanales; Solanaceae.